RNAcentral lists this ribosomal RNA (378 nucleotides) under uncultured bacterium. RNAcentral's name for it is "bacterial SSU rRNA". It matches the Rfam family "Bacterial small subunit ribosomal RNA", at positions 28 to 404 of the family's 1533-position model. The record is from RNAcentral.
GACGAACGCUGGCGGCGUGCUUAACACAUGCAAGUCGAGCGGUAAGGCCCUUUCGGGGGUACGACGAGCGGCGAACGGGUGAGUAACACGUGGGUGACCUGCCCUCAGCUCUGGGAUAAGCCUGGGAAACCGGGUCUAAUACUGGAUAUGACUCCAUGACGCAUGUUGGUGGGGUGGAAAGCCUUGUGCGGCUGAGGAUGGGCCCGCGGCCUAUCAGCUUGUUGGUGGGGUGANGGCCUACCAAGGCGACGACGGGUAGCCGGCCCGAGAGGGCGACCGGCCACACUGGGACUGAGACACGGCCCAGACUCCUACGGGAGGCAGCAGGUGGGGAAUCUUGCGCAAUGGGCGAAAGCCUGACGCAGCGACGCCGCGUGA